Xenia sp. Carnegie-2017 is the source of this 770-nucleotide long non-coding RNA. RefSeq lists it as uncharacterized. The transcript has 4 exons. The record is from RefSeq and is a predicted model, not a curated record. Lineage: Eukaryota; Metazoa; Cnidaria; Anthozoa; Malacalcyonacea; Xeniidae.
UAUCUUUUUUUAGGGUAAUAUUUACUACCUUCAGAUGGGUAAUUCACUAAAGGGUAAUAUUUACUCUAAAAUCUUGGGUAGUUUGCUAUCCGUGGUUUAAAUUUUACCCUCAACAUAAUGGUAAUGUUUACAAUGACCCUCUUUGGGUGUAAAUGCAACAUGUGGGUGUAAAAAUUACCCCAUGCGUUUGGUGUAAUGCCAAGUGCAACGCAUGUUUUAAAAUCAACAUGGCGGAAUUAAGCAAGAGUGGAAGAAACAUGCUUCUUCGUCAACAGAGUCCAAACCACUUUGUCGGAAUAUUAGCAUUUAUGGUCUAUUUCUCCAAGAUUUCUUGAAGAAACUCCUUUAAAUUAUUUGCUGUACCUGGUCCAACUUCAAUGCCUUUUUCAAGAAAUCUUGAUUCAUGAUUGCCAGACUGCAACUUAUAGCAAACCCAUUGUUGGUGUCGCAUGGCCAAAGUAAAUGCACUAGGAAUGUGGACCAUAAAAUGCAUUUUUGGAAUUAUGCUGCAGUGGGGAUAAAGCUCCUUGAACUUAUUGUGGUGGUCAUUGAUUAGGACUUGAAGAUAUGCCACUUCAUCUUUUGAUAUUACAGGUGAAAAGCAAAGAGAUGUGAUUUGUAGCAAACUAAGAAAAAGUUUCUAUCGGUCAUUUUCUGGAGGAACAAUAUUUCCAAUUAUGAGUGCACUUGCAAGACAAUAUCGACAUGGCUUGUUUGCACUGCAACUCUCUUUAAAUCCUCCUAACAACUGUGCCCCAAGAUUGUCAGCA